Molecule: ribosomal RNA, 484 nt
Filed under: uncultured bacterium
Lineage: Bacteria
Description: partial 16S ribosomal RNA
Rfam family: Bacterial small subunit ribosomal RNA
Source: RNAcentral
AUUGAACGCUGGCGGCAUGCUUUACACAUGCAAGUCGAACGGCAGCGCGGGCUUCGGCCUGGCGGCGAGUGGCGAACGGGUGAGUAAUGCAUCGGAACGUGCCCAGUAGUGGGGGAUAGCCCGGCGAAAGCCGGAUUAAUACCGCAUACGACCUGAGGGUGAAAGCGGGGGACCGAAAGGCCUCGUGCUAUUGGAGCGGCCGAUGUCGGAUUAGCUAGUUGGUGGGGUAAAGGCUUACCAAGGCGACGAUCCGUAGCUGGUCUGAGAGGACGACCAGCCACACUGGGACUGAGACACGGCACAGACUCCUACGGGAGGCAGCAGUGGGGAAUUUUGGACAAUGGGGGCAACCCUGAUCCAGCCAUGCCGCGUGCGGGAAGAAGGCCUUCUGGUUGUAAACCGCUUUUGUUCGGGAAGAAAUACUCUGGGCUAAUACCCCGGGGGGAUGACGGUACCGGAAGAAUAAGCACCGGCUAACUACGUG